Molecule: ribosomal RNA, 452 nt
Filed under: uncultured bacterium
Lineage: Bacteria
Description: bacterial SSU rRNA
Rfam family: Bacterial small subunit ribosomal RNA
Source: RNAcentral
AACGAACGCUGGCGGCAGGCUUAACACAUGCAAGUCGAACGGUUGUAGCAAUACAGCAGUGGCAGACGGGUGAGUAACACGUGGGAACCUUCCUAGAGGUACGGAACAACGCAGGGAAACUUGCGCUAAUACCGUAUACGCUCGUGAGAGGAAAGAUUUAUCGCCUUUAGACGGGCCCGCGUCGGAUUAGGUAGUUGGUGGGGUAACGGCCUACCAAGCCUACGAUCCGUAGCUGAUCUGAGAGGAUGAUCAGCCACACUGGGACUGAGACACGGCCCAGACUCCUACGGGAGGCAGCAGUGGGGAAUCUUGGACAAUGGGCGCAAGCCUGAUCCAGCCAUGCCGCGUGAGUGAAGAAGGCCUUAGGGUUGUAAAGCUCUUUUGCCAGGGACGAUAAUGACGGUACCUGGAGAAUAAGCCCCGGCAAACUUCGUGCCAGCCGCCGCAGUAAU